Molecule: non-coding RNA, 114 nt
Organism: Nasonia vitripennis (jewel wasp)
Lineage: Eukaryota; Metazoa; Arthropoda; Insecta; Hymenoptera; Pteromalidae
Source: Rfam
GUUGGCUACGGCGACAUUUACCCCACUACGGCGUUGGGCAAGGUCAUCGGUAGUGUGUGUUGUAUAUGUGGUGUCCUGGUAAUCGCGUUACCCAUUCCCAUUAUCGUCAAUAAU